Molecule: long non-coding RNA, 173 nt
Organism: Suricata suricatta (meerkat)
Lineage: Eukaryota; Metazoa; Chordata; Mammalia; Carnivora; Herpestidae
Exons: 3
Source: RefSeq, a predicted model, not a curated record
CAAUUCUUUCUGCAGCCCCUGGUUUUGACCGGAGCCUUCAUCCAUCUUUUGGAUACACCAUAGUGCAUAUACUGCUCUCAUGUUUUCAGACUCAGAAUGAAUCACGCUGCUGGCUUUCUUCAGUCCCCAGCAUGCAGACCACAGACCAUGGCGGCUCUCAGCCUGCACAUAAU